This 400-nucleotide ribosomal RNA is filed under the name uncultured bacterium. RNAcentral's name for it is "bacterial SSU rRNA". It matches the Rfam family "Bacterial small subunit ribosomal RNA", at positions 356 to 773 of the family's 1533-position model. The record is from RNAcentral.
GGGGAAUAUUGGACAAUGGGCGCAAGCCUGAUCCAGCCAUGCCGCGUGAGUGAUGAAGGCCCUAGGGUUGUAAAGCUCUUUCAGUGGGGAAGAUAAUGACGGUACCCACAGAAGAAGCCCCGGCUAACUUCGUGCCAGCAGCCGCGGUAAUACGAAGGGGGCUAGCGUUGUUCGGAAUUACUGGGCGUAAAGCGCACGUAGGCGGAUUUUUAAGUCAGGGGUGAAAUCCCGGGGCUCAACCCCGGAACAGCCUUUGAUACUGGAGAUCUGGAGUCCGAGAGAGGUGAGUGGAAUUCCGAGUGUAGAGGUGAAAUUCGUAGAUAUUCGGAGGAACACCAGUGGCGAAGGCGGCUCACUGGCUCGGUACUGACGCUGAGGUGCGAAAGCGUGGGGAGCAAAC